GCCUUGGUGAUUCAGGGGUAGAAUCCUUGCCUUCCAUGUGGGGGACCCAGGUUCGAUUCCCAGCCAGUGCA
This 71-nucleotide transfer RNA is filed under the name Loxodonta africana (African savanna elephant). It matches the Rfam family "tRNA". From Rfam's summary of the family: Transfer RNA (tRNA) molecules are approximately 80 nucleotides in length. Their secondary structure includes four short double-helical elements and three loops (D, anti-codon, and T loops). The record is from Rfam by way of RNAcentral. Lineage: Eukaryota; Metazoa; Chordata; Mammalia; Proboscidea; Elephantidae.